Molecule: ribosomal RNA, 1161 nt
Filed under: Triticum aestivum (bread wheat)
Lineage: Eukaryota; Viridiplantae; Streptophyta; Magnoliopsida; Poales; Poaceae
Description: partial small subunit ribosomal RNA
Source: RNAcentral
AUGGACGGCGGAGCGACGGCCGCGGCGCUGGGCGCGUGGGAGGCCGUGCGGGGCCUCUUCACGCCGGCCACGCUCUUCCUCACCGUCAACCUCGUCAUCGGCACCAUCCUGCUCACCUCCCGCUCCCACCAGCGCCGACGCCAGGGCGGCCAUGACGGCGACCACCAAGAGCAGCCGCUCCAACAAGUGGAGCCGCAGCAGCAGCAUCAGGAGGACCUGUACUACCGCGACCAGCAGCAGCAGCAGCAGUACGUGCCCCCGCCGCCGGCGCCGGCGCCGCUCGCGCGCACCUCGUCGGUGCUGGACCGCCUCCGCUCCAUCGGCCUCUACCGCUUUCGCUCCGGCGACUUCCCGCCCGAGUACGCCGCGGGCGCCGUGACCGACUCGCGGGACGUGACGGUCUCUCCGGAGCCGGCGCCGACGGCCGGAGAUGCCCACCACGCCAGGAGCCGGUCGGAGCCCCCGGCGCGUGUGGAGAGGAGGCGGGCGCCGCCGUCGAAGAUGAAGAGGUCCAGCUCCGAGGCGAGGAGGGCCGAGGUGGCCCCAGCGCCGGCGGCUCGGGUGGUCCAGCCGGCCGUGCUGGAGGAGGAGGAGGACGACGACGACCUUGUAGAGCACGACACCGAGUUCACCGACAAUUACAACAGCUUCACGACACCGCCGCCGGAGCAGGAGCCGGAGGGGGAGCAGUACUACUGCGAGGAGUACGUCCCUCCAUACAGGCCGGCGCCGCUGGCGCGCGCGCCGUCCGUCCUGGAGCGCCUGCGCUCCUUCAGCCUCUACCGCUUCAACUCCGGCAACCUUGCGCCCGAACUCUCCGCCUCGCCGGACCACGCCGUGGCCGCCGUCGCGGCGGCAGACGAGAAGAAGACGUCGACGCAGUACAGCAGGAGCCGGUCGGAGCCGGCGCGGGAGCAGGGCAAGAAGAGCAAGAAGCAGCAGGGGGAGAAGCAGGGGGCGGAGGCGAAGAUGAGCAAGUCGAGCUCGGAGGCGAGGAUGCUGCCGCCGCCUCCGCCGCCGCCGCCGAUGGAGGAGGCCGUGGAGGGCGGCGUGGACGCGCGGGCGGACGACUUCAUCAACAGCUUCCGGAAGCAGCUGCGGCUGCAGCGGCUCAACUCGCUGCUCAACUACAAGGAGGUGCUCAACCGCGGCGCCAAGUAG